CACUGUAAAAAAUUGCUGUAAAAAAACGGGGAAUUUUGGACAGUAAUUUACCGUUUCUCAUAAAUACAGUUGAAUACUGUAAAUAAACAUUAAUUUGACAAGCAAACUAAUAACAGCAAGCUACUGUUCAGUCUUACGGGAUAAUACAGUAUUUUUUGGUCUGGUCAGGCAUGUCAGACAUGUGACGAACUCAUCUGCAACCACGAGUCAAACUGAUUUAACCACACUGUUUUUCGGCAUUUUAUUAUACGAGAAGGAAGCAGAAUUAAAGACUAUAUCCAUUUUCACUCCGAUUGUGACCUUACCAGCACUGAGACGGACAACGAAUUCACGUGUUUUUUACUCCUCGCCUGUAUAUCAAGUAGCUGGUGAUGAAGUCACAUUUGGAGGUUGGAUGAUCAGCAGUGAACAUCAUCUGUGAAGGCAUCCAGCAAAGCUUCAUCAGAGGGCUGGCUGCAGUUUUCGCAUGUGUUCAACUUGCAAUACCAAGAUGAAGCUGCGAGGACACUGGAGUUUGUUCAAAGAUGCUUAAUUGGUGUGAACCCUAAGAGGGGAACAAAAGCCAGGCAGGUGAAGGUGUCCAAGAAGACGGGAAAGCUUGUACAGAAAAGAGCAGUAACUCUGAAUCCCCAUGUGGCCAUCCUCAUCAAAAACUUCAUGGACUUUGAGUGGGGCUUUCACAUUGUGUGCUGCAAUGUUGUGAUAUUUAUGUGACAUCACAGCAUUAUGUUUUAUUCAGCCCAGUCUCAUUGGUGAGGCAGAAACUGACAUUUAAGAAUGCACUGAAUUUUAUUAUAUUUAAUAAAAACAGUGUUUUAUCAUCAUCCUUUGUUUGAGAAUUUUUUUGCAAGCAAUUUUAAGUGUUUAUUUUAAAAUUACAUUUUAACAAUGCUAGAAAAAUCACAUUCUACAGUAUAAAUUACAGCAGGAACCCUAAAAUAACAGUAUAAUGCAACCAAACAUCUGACAGUAUUAUACUGUGCAGCUCCCUUUUUUUACAGUACCGUCCCGUAAUAUUUGUACAGUAAAAAACUGUUGUUGUAAAUUACAGUAGGUAAUCUGUAAAAUUACAACUUUAUGCUGGCAAAUCUAGCUGCCAGUAUAUUACUGUAAUUUAACAGUGAAAUUUUUUACAGUGUAC
Misgurnus anguillicaudatus (oriental weatherfish) is the source of this 1141-nucleotide non-coding RNA. The record is from RefSeq and is a predicted model, not a curated record. Lineage: Eukaryota; Metazoa; Chordata; Actinopteri; Cypriniformes; Cobitidae.